RNAcentral lists this ribosomal RNA (253 nucleotides) under uncultured bacterium. Its description in RNAcentral is "partial 16S ribosomal RNA". It matches the Rfam family "Bacterial small subunit ribosomal RNA", at positions 524 to 776 of the family's 1533-position model. The record is from RNAcentral.
UACAGAGGGGGCAAGCGUUAUUCGGAAUUAUUGGGCGUAAAGGGCGCGUAGGCGGCCUGACAAGUGGAAGGUGAAAUCCCUCGGCUUAACCGAGGAACUGCCCUCCAAACUGUUUGGCUUGAGUCCGGGAGAGGUGAGUGGAAUUCCCAGUGUAGCGGUGAAAUGCGUAGAUAUUGGGAGGAACACCAGUGGCGAAGGCGGCUCACUGGACCGGAACUGACGCUGAUGCGCGAAAGCUAGGGGAGCGAACGGG